CCUACGGGGGGCAGCAGUGAGGAAUAUUGGUCAAUGGUCGGGAGACUGAACCAGCCAAGCCGCGUGAGGGAUGAAGGUACAGAGUAUCGUAAACCUUUUUUGUCAGGGAACAAAGGCGGGGACGUGUCCCCGGAUGAGUGUACCUGAAGAAAAAGCAUCGGCUAACUCCGUGCCAGCAGCCGCGGUAAUACGGAGGAUGCGAGCGUUUUCCGGAUUUAUUGGGUUUAAGGGGUGCGCAGGCGGUCUGUUAAGUCAGCGGUAAAAGCCCGGGGCUCAACCCCGGCCCGCCGUUGAAACUGGCAGUCUCGAGUUGGAGAGAAGUAUGCGGAAUGCGCGGUGUAGCGGUGAAAUGCAUAGAUAUCGCGCAGAACUCCGAUUGCGAAGGCAGCAUGCCGGCUCCACACUGACGCUGAGGCACGAAAGCGUGGGUAUCGAACAGGAUUAGAUACCCGAGUAGUC
Molecule: ribosomal RNA, 459 nt
Filed under: uncultured bacterium
Lineage: Bacteria
Description: partial 16S ribosomal RNA
Rfam family: Bacterial small subunit ribosomal RNA
Source: RNAcentral